GACGAACGCUGGCGGCGUGCCUAAUACAUGCAAGUAGAACGUGAAGAGAGGAGCUUGCUCUUCUUGGAUGAGUUGCGAACGGGUGAGUAACGCGUAGGUAACCUGCCUGGUAGCGGGGGAUAACUAUUGGAAACGAUAGCUAAUACCGCAUGACAUUGAUUAUCGCAUGAUAAUUAAUUGAAAGAUGCAAUUGCAUCACUACCAGAUGGACCUGCGUUGUAUUAGCUAGUUGGUGAGGUAACGGCUCACCAAGGCGACGAUCAUAGCCGACCUGAGAGGGUGAUCGGCCACACUGGGACUGAGACACGGCCCAGACUCCUACGGGAGGCAGCAGUAGGGAAUCUUCGGCAAUGGGGGGAACCCUGACCGAGCAACGCCGCGUGAGUGAAGAAGGUUUUCGGAUCGUAAAGCUCUGUUGUAAGAGAAGAACGGGUGUGAGAG
This 441-nucleotide ribosomal RNA is filed under the name Streptococcus sanguinis. Its description in RNAcentral is "bacterial SSU rRNA". It matches the Rfam family "Bacterial small subunit ribosomal RNA", at positions 28 to 461 of the family's 1533-position model. Lineage: Bacteria; Bacillati; Bacillota; Bacilli; Lactobacillales; Streptococcaceae. The record is from RNAcentral.